CAAAACACUACUUUUUCUUUUCUCUAAGUGCUAAUAUCUUCAUUUCCAAGCUCAGCUUGCCCUUUUGCUAUUGAUUUUGUUCAUUGCUUGCUGAUUCUUUGAUGCUUAGGGAAUUACACAGUUUAGAUACAGAGGGAACCAAGAAAAUGUUGAAGAGCAAAGCAACGAAAUUCUUGAAGAGGAUAACAUUAGUUUUGGCAUCAAUGGCCAAGGCUAAAACUUUAGCUCUCAAGAGCAAAACCCAUGCCUUGAAAACUCGGUUGAUGAUAUUCUUUCUGUUGAGGGACAAGAAGAUUCUGAUGAGCUCCAUCUCACAUAAGCUCCAUUCUAUUAUGGGCCAGCAGGAACAUGACAAAGAUCAAGAAGAUGGAGAUAAUAACAUGGGAGAACAAAGCAAGUCCAUUGUGCUUUAUAACCACGGCUCCAUGUCCCUUCCCAGUCCCACUCAAAUGGAGUUACUGGAGAAUGCUGAUGAACAAGACAAUAUCUACGGCUAUGGCUAUGGCUAUGGCUACAACUAUGAAGAUGAGGAUGAUGAAGAGAAGUUUCCAGACCUGACCCACUCUCUAUUUGAGUCUGAAGAUCUGGACUUUGAAGAUCCAGGAGGGUCAGUGAUAGAUUUGGUGAAGAAUUCAAAGAAAGAAGGAGAAGAAUUCAGGUUAGAGGACGAGAUAGACCAUGUUGCAGACCUGUUCAUAAAGAGGUUCCACCGCCAGAUGAGAAUGCAGAAGCAGCUCUCCAUCAAGAGGAAUCAAGAGAUGCUUGAAAAGAGUGCCUGAUGAUGUAUAACUUUCACUUGCAAAUCUUAGAUCAAGCUAAGCCAGUUCAGUGUCAAGAUAACAAACCUGAAUUGGAGGCCCUGAAUUGCUUCGCAGUUGCAUGCUAAACUGGAAUACAAGGAAGGGGUGACUCCUUGGCAUUUCUGCUAGAUAUAUGAUUAAUUAUAUAUGUUCCUUGAGACUUUCUUCUGUAAUAUAGAAUUUUCUUGUAACUCUAGUUAUUGAUCAUCAUGUGAUAUUUCAAGUGUCCUGUUUUAAGUCAGGAAUGUUGAAAACAGAGGGUGCCCUGUUUUAUGAGGCCAUUUCUGUGCAAUAUUAAUAUAGUAGCAGAAUAAGAGAUUCUAUUUGUUUUUCUUCUAUUAAUUUGUAUUUCAAUGCAUGUCCUUCUGAAAGCACUCAAUAUAGAGUUUUUUUCAAAUUCA
RNAcentral lists this unclassified non-coding RNA (1201 nucleotides) under Hevea brasiliensis (rubber tree). Lineage: Eukaryota; Viridiplantae; Streptophyta; Magnoliopsida; Malpighiales; Euphorbiaceae. The record is from RNAcentral.